UGCGUAGGUGGCGCUGUAAGUCGGGUGUGAAAUUUCGGAGCUUAACUCCGAAACUGCAUUCGAUACUGCGGUGCUUGAGGACUGGAGAGGAGACUGGAAUUCAUGGUGUAGCAGUGAAAUGCGUAGAGAUCAUGAGGAAGACCAGUGGCGAAGGCGGGUCUCUGGACAGUUCCUGACACUGAGGCACGAAGGCCAGGGGAGCAAACG
RNAcentral lists this ribosomal RNA (207 nucleotides) under uncultured bacterium. RNAcentral describes it as "partial 16S ribosomal RNA". It matches the Rfam family "Bacterial small subunit ribosomal RNA", at positions 568 to 774 of the family's 1533-position model. The record is from RNAcentral.